AACGAACGCUGGCGGCAUGCCUAACACAUGCAAGUCGAACGAGACCUUCGGGUCUAGUGGCGCACGGGUGCGUAACGCGUGGGAACCUGCCUUUAGGUUCGGAAUAACUCAGAGAAAUUUGAGCUAAUACCGGAUGAUGUCUUCGGCCCAAAGAUUUAUCGCCUUUAGAUGGGCCCGCGUUGGAUUAGCUAGUUGGUGGGGUAAAGGCCUACCAAGGCGACGAUCCAUAGCUGGUCUGAGAGGAUGAUCAGCCACACUGGGACUGAGACACGGCCCAGACUCCUACGGGAGGCAGCAGUGGGGAAUAUUGGACAAUGGGCGAAAGCCUGAUCCAGCAAUGCCGCGUGAGUGAUGAAGGCCUUAGGGUUGUAAAGCUCUUUUACCCGAGAUGAUAAUGACAGUAUCGGGAGAAUAAGCUCCGGCUAACUCCGUG
RNAcentral lists this ribosomal RNA (433 nucleotides) under uncultured bacterium. RNAcentral's name for it is "partial 16S ribosomal RNA". It matches the Rfam family "Bacterial small subunit ribosomal RNA", at positions 29 to 507 of the family's 1533-position model. The record is from RNAcentral.